RNAcentral lists this ribosomal RNA (253 nucleotides) under uncultured bacterium. RNAcentral's name for it is "partial 16S ribosomal RNA". It matches the Rfam family "Bacterial small subunit ribosomal RNA", at positions 524 to 776 of the family's 1533-position model. The record is from RNAcentral.
UACAGGGGUCUCGAGCGUUAAUCGGAAUUACUGGGCUUAAAGGGUGCGUAGGUGGGUCCGCAAGUGCCUUGUGAAAUCCCCCGGCUCAACCGGGGAACUGCGGGGCAUACUGCGGGUCUUGAGGAAGGUAGGCGCCGAGGGAACAGUAGGUGGAGCGGUGAAAUGCGUAGAUAUCUACUGGAACGCCGAUGGUGAAGACGCUCGGCUGGGCCUUUCCUGACACUGAGGCACGAAAGCGUGGGGAGCAAACAGG